GUCCUCGUAGCAUAACAGGAAAAUGCAAUUGCCUCCUAAGCAAUAGACUGGGUGUUCGAGUCACCCCGAGGACGCCA
This 77-nucleotide transfer RNA is filed under the name bacterium. Its description in RNAcentral is "tRNA-Arg". It matches the Rfam family "tRNA". Rfam says of the family: Transfer RNA (tRNA) molecules are approximately 80 nucleotides in length. The record is from RNAcentral.